AUGCCGGUGUCCCCCGUUAAUGAUGAAGAGCCGAAUGCCGGCCUGUCACGCCGGAGGUCGCGGGUUCGAGUCCCGUCCGGUCCGCCA
Molecule: transfer RNA, 87 nt
Filed under: Zhongshania aliphaticivorans
Lineage: Bacteria; Pseudomonadati; Pseudomonadota; Gammaproteobacteria; Cellvibrionales; Spongiibacteraceae
Description: tRNA-Asp
Rfam family: tRNA
About the family: Transfer RNA (tRNA) molecules are approximately 80 nucleotides in length.
Source: RNAcentral